Molecule: long non-coding RNA, 519 nt
Filed under: Ananas comosus (pineapple)
Lineage: Eukaryota; Viridiplantae; Streptophyta; Magnoliopsida; Poales; Bromeliaceae
Description: long non-coding RNA (ACOM_LNC025904)
Source: RNAcentral
AGAAAUUUGUUUUAUGCUUUUCACUUUCUCUUAUUUGUUUAAUUCUUUCGUCGCCGGGUGUUAAAAGAGUCUUCGUCAACCUCUUCCGCGUUCGUGUCCGUAGGAGGAGGAAUUCCGGUCGUAUCUUGGGGUGCUGUUUCCGGUUAAUCUCGCACGAAGGACGGAAAUACGCCUUAGGGCAGUGCGUCGCACGCUUCCGGAGCUAAUUAUUUGGAUUUCUUUUCCACCGAUUUAUUUGGGAUUUAGCAAUCAUAUGUAAGUUGAUUUAUUUAUUUUCAUCACUAAAUUAGUUAGAUUUAUAUCACAAUCGAAUUUCGUUGUGGGUUUUCCCCAACAACCUAAGGCGUAUUUCGAUUUGAUUGUGAUUAAAUCUAACAAGUGCUAAUCCGAAAAAAUAAUAAUUGUGCAUAUUGUAUAUAAUUUGUUUGAUAACUUGCUUAUAUGAUUGACAUACAAUAUUAAUUUAAGUUGGGAUUAGCAUUUUCAAAUUCUAAUUGCAAAUUUUUAUUUGUCUUCUAU